Triticum urartu is the source of this 135-nucleotide non-coding RNA. The record is from Rfam. Lineage: Eukaryota; Viridiplantae; Streptophyta; Magnoliopsida; Poales; Poaceae.
CAGGUACUCCCUCCGUUCCGAAUUACUUGUCUUGGAUUUGUCUAGAUAGCGAUGUAUCUAGACUCAUUUUAGUGCUAGAUACCUCCGUAUCUAGACAAAACUAAGACAAGUAAUUCGGAACGGAGGAAGUAUAUU